This 373-nucleotide ribosomal RNA is filed under the name uncultured bacterium. Its description in RNAcentral is "bacterial SSU rRNA". It matches the Rfam family "Bacterial small subunit ribosomal RNA", at positions 28 to 392 of the family's 1533-position model. The record is from RNAcentral.
GACGAACGCUGGCGGCGUGCCUAACACAUGCAAGUGGAGCGACGAACCGGGCUUCGGCCCGGGGCCAAGCCGCGAACGGGUGAGUAACACGUGGGUAACCUGCCCUGAUGAUUGGGACAACCCGAGGAAACUCGGGCUAAUACCGAAUGUGCCCUCCGACCAUAAGGUCUGCGGGGAAAGGAAGCUUCGGCCUCCGCAUCGGGAUGGGCCCGCGGCGCAUUAGCUUGUUGGUGAGGUAACGGCUCACCAAGGCGACGAUGCGUAGCUGGUCUGAGAGGACGAUCAGCCACACUGGGACUGAGACACGGCCCAGACUCCUACGGGAGGGCAGCAGUGGGGAAUCUUGCGCAAUGCGCGAAAGACGUGACGCAGC